This 1364-nucleotide ribosomal RNA is filed under the name Vibrio sp. RNAcentral's name for it is "bacterial SSU rRNA". It matches the Rfam family "Bacterial small subunit ribosomal RNA", at positions 64 to 1421 of the family's 1533-position model. Lineage: Bacteria; Pseudomonadati; Pseudomonadota; Gammaproteobacteria; Vibrionales; Vibrionaceae. The record is from RNAcentral.
UAUCUGAACCUUCGGGGAACGAUAACGGCGUCGAGCGGCGGACGGGUGAGUAAUGCCUAGGAAAUUGCCCUGAUGUGGGGGAUAACCAUUGGAAACGAUGGCUAAUACCGCAUGAUGCCUACGGGCCAAAGAGGGGGACCUUCGGGCCUCUCGCGUCAGGAUAUGCCUAGGUGGGAUUAGCUAGUUGGUGAGGUAAGGGCUCACCAAGGCGACGAUCCCUAGCUGGUCUGAGAGGAUGAUCAGCCACACUGGAACUGAGACACGGUCCAGACUCCUACGGGAGGCAGCAGUGGGGAAUAUUGCACAAUGGGCGCAAGCCUGAUGCAGCCAUGCCGCGUGUGUGAAGAAGGCCUUCGGGUUGUAAAGCACUUUCAGUCGUGAGGAAGGUAGUGUAGUUAAUAGCUGCAUUAUUUGACGUUAGCGACAGAAGAAGCACCGGCUAACUCCGUGCCAGCAGCCGCGGUAAUACGGAGGGUGCGAGCGUUAAUCGGAAUUACUGGGCGUAAAGCGCAUGCAGGUGGUUUGUUAAGUCAGAUGUGAAAGCCCGGGGCUCAACCUCGGAAUAGCAUUUGAAACUGGCAGACUAGAGUACUGUAGAGGGGGGUAGAAUUUCAGGUGUAGCGGUGAAAUGCGUAGAGAUCUGAAGGAAUACCGGUGGCGAAGGCGGCCCCCUGGACAGAUACUGACACUCAGAUGCGAAAGCGUGGGGAGCAAACAGGAUUAGAUACCCUGGUAGUCCACGCCGUAAACGAUGUCUACUUGGAGGUUGUGGCCUUGAGCCGUGGCUUUCGGAGCUAACGCGUUAAGUAGACCGCCUGGGGAGUACGGUCGCAAGAUUAAAACUCAAAUGAAUUGACGGGGGCCCGCACAAGCGGUGGAGCAUGUGGUUUAAUUCGAUGCAACGCGAAGAACCUUACCUACUCUUGACAUCCAGAGAACUUUCCAGAGAUGGAUUGGUGCCUUCGGGAACUCUGAGACAGGUGCUGCAUGGCUGUCGUCAGCUCGUGUUGUGAAAUGUUGGGUUAAGUCCCGCAACGAGCGCAACCCUUAUCCUUGUUUGCCAGCGAGUAAUGUCGGGAACUCCAGGGAGACUGCCGGUGAUAAACCGGAGGAAGGUGGGGACGACGUCAAGUCAUCAUGGCCCUUACGAGUAGGGCUACACACGUGCUACAAUGGCGCAUACAGAGGGCGGCCAACUUGCGAAAGUGAGCGAAUCCCAAAAAGUGCGUCGUAGUCCGGAUUGGAGUCUGCAACUCGACUCCAUGAAGUCGGAAUCGCUAGUAAUCGUGGAUCAGAAUGCCACGGUGAAUACGUUCCCGGGCCUUGUACACACCGCCCGUCACACCAUGGGAGUGGGCUGCAAA